Molecule: long non-coding RNA, 696 nt
Organism: Arabidopsis thaliana (thale cress)
Lineage: Eukaryota; Viridiplantae; Streptophyta; Magnoliopsida; Brassicales; Brassicaceae
Product: other RNA
Exons: 2
Source: RefSeq
GUAGAGGAACUAUCUAUAAUAAAAUAUGUGUAUACAUGUCUUCUUCAUUUCUUAAAAAGCCUUAAUAGUUUUCUGAUGGCCAAUCUUAAUAUCAAACAGCUUAAGUUUCAGCAGAUUUAUACAGAGAUAACAAAAAAAAGGAAGCUGCUCUCUUCUUUCUUUGUUUUUCAUAAAUCUCAGAUUCGUCGUAGCGAAGCCAACCUCUUCUCAAGCUCAUCCACUUCACUUGAUUCAGAGCUGCAAGUUAAACUAAGCUGCAGUGGAAGCGGGAGGAGCUGCGGUUUUCGUAGCAAUCCGACCUUUUGGAGCUGAAGAUAACUGUUUAAAACAAAAUGAAAGAGAAGACAUGUUUUAGUGUUCGACUGACCCGAGAAACCAAAAAAGAAGAAAUUACUUUGCUUUUAUGCAGAGAAACCGGACCUGAGAUGCAACACCAACACCAAUCUCAUCAAGAACCUGGUUAGUGAGAUCUUCUGUUUCUUCUUCAGCCUCAUCUUUGUCAAGUGUUUCAUCAAUUGCCUCUGACAUCAUCUCUAUCUGCAAAUCCAACAACACAUCAAUUGUUCAAUGUCAAAUCCUGCAAACUAAUCUGUACUUGUUGGAUAAAGUAAGCUCUUAAGAUUAUGAGAUGUUUCGCUUACCGUCAUGUCUAGCUGUGCCGACUGCUUUUGGAAAUCUUUAAUCACCUUGGCUUGU